GACGAACGCUGGCGGCGUGCUUAACACAUGCAAGUCGAACGGAAAGGCCCUGCUUUUGUGGGGUGCUCGAGUGGCGAACGGGUGAGUAACACGUGAGUAACCUGCCCUUGACUUUGGGAUAACUUCAGGAAACUGGGGCUAAUACCGGAUAGGAGCUCCUGCUGCAUGGUGGGGGUUGGAAAGUUUCGGCGGUUGGGGAUGGACUCGCGGCUUAUCAGCUUGUUGGUGGGGUAGUGGCUUACCAAGGCUUUGACGGGUAGCCGGCCUGAGAGGGUGACCGGCCACAUUGGGACUGAGAUACGGCCCAGACUCCUACGGGAGGCAGCAGUGGGGAAUAUUGCACAAUGGGCGGAAGCCUGAUGCAGCAACGCCGCGUGCGGGAUGACGGCCUUCGGGUUGUAAACCGCUUUCGCCUGUGACGAAGCGUGAGUGACGGUAAUGGGUAAAGAAGCACCGGCUAACUACGUGCCAGCAGCCGCGGUGAUACGUAGGGUGCGAGCGUUGUCCGGAUUUAUUGGGCGUAAAGGGUUCGUAGGUGGUUGAUCGCGUCGGAAGUGUAAUCUUGGGGCUUAACCCUGAGCGUGCUUUCGAUACGGGUUGACUUGAGGAAGGUAGGGGAGAAUGGAAUUCCUGGUGGAGCGGUGGAAUGCGCAGAUAUCAGGAGGAACACCAGUGGCGAAGGCGGUUCUCUGGGCCUUUCCUGACGCUGAGGAGCGAAAGCGUGGGGAGCGAACAGGCCUAGAUACCCUGGUAGUCCACGCUGUAAACGGUGGGUACUAGGUGUGGGGUCCAUUCCACGGGUUCCGUGCCGUAGCUAACGCUUUAAGUACCCCGCCUGGGGAGUACGGCCGCAAGGCUAAAACUCAAAGGAAUUGACGGGGCCCCGCACAAGCGGCGGAGCAUGCGGAUUAAUUCGAUGCAACGCGUAGAACCUUACCUGGGUUUGACAUGGAUCGGGAGUGCUCAGAGAUGGGUGUGCCUCUUUUGGGGUCGGUUCACAGGUGGUGCAUGGCUGUCGUCAGCUCGUGUCGUGAGAUGUUGGGUUAAGUCCCGCAACGAGCGCAACCCCUGUUCACUGUUGCCAGCACGUUAUGGUGGGGACUCAGUGGAGACCGCCGGGGUCAACUCGGAGGAAGGUGGGGAUGACGUCAAGUCAUCAUGCCCCUUAUGUCCAGGGCUUCACGCAUGCUGCAAUGGCUGGUACAGAGAGUGGCGAGCCUGUGAGGGUGAGCGAAUCUCGGAAAGCCGGUCUCAGUUCGGAUUGGGGUCUGCAACUCGACCUCAUGAAGUCGGAGUCGCUAGUAAUCGCAGAUCAGCAACGCUGCGGUGAAUACGUUCCCGGGGCU
Molecule: ribosomal RNA, 1346 nt
Filed under: uncultured bacterium
Lineage: Bacteria
Description: partial 16S ribosomal RNA
Rfam family: Bacterial small subunit ribosomal RNA
Source: RNAcentral